Molecule: ribosomal RNA, 2987 nt
Filed under: Salmonella enterica subsp. enterica serovar Typhimurium str. 798
Lineage: Bacteria; Pseudomonadati; Pseudomonadota; Gammaproteobacteria; Enterobacterales; Enterobacteriaceae
Description: bacterial LSU rRNA
Rfam family: Bacterial large subunit ribosomal RNA
Source: RNAcentral
UUAAGCGACUAAGCGUACACGGUGGAUGCCCUGGCAGUCAGAGGCGAUGAAGGGCGUGCUAAUCUGCGAUAAGCUCCGGUAAGGUGAUAUGAACCGUUAUAACCGGCGAUACCCGAAUGGGGAAACCCAGUGUGAUUCGUCACACUAUCAUUAACUGAAUCCAUAGGUUAAUGAGGCGAACCGGGGGAACUGAAACAUCUAAGUACCCCGAGGAAAAGAAAUCAACCGAGAUUCCCCCAGUAGCGGCGAGCGAACGGGGAGGAGCCCAGAGCCUGAAUCAGCAUGUGUGUUAGUGGAAGCGUCUGGAAAGGCGCGCGAUACAGGGUGACAGCCCCGUACACAAAAGCGCAUGUGCUGUGAGCUCGAUGAGUAGGGCGGGACACGUGGUAUCCUGUCUGAAUAUGGGGGGACCAUCCUCCAAGGCUAAAUACUCCUGACUGACCGAUAGUGAACCAGUACCGUGAGGGAAAGGCGAAAAGAACCCCGGCGAGGGGAGUGAAAAAGAACCUGAAACCGUGUACGUACAAGCAGUGGGAGCACCCUUCGGGGUGUGACUGCGUACCUUUUGUAUAAUGGGUCAGCGACUUAUAUUCUGUAGCAAGGUUAACCGUAUAGGGGAGCCGGAGGGAAACCGAGUCUUAACCGGGCGUUAAGUUGCAGGGUAUAGACCCGAAACCCGGUGAUCUAGCCAUGGGCAGGUUGAAGGUUGGGUAACACUAACUGGAGGACCGAACCGACUAAUGUUGAAAAAUUAGCGGAUGACCUGUGGCUGGGGGUGAAAGGCCAAUCAAACCGGGAGAUAGCUGGUUCUCCCCGAAAGCUAUUUAGGUAGCGCCUCGUGAAUUCAUCUCCGGGGGUAGAGCACUGUUUCGGCUAGGGGGCCAUCCCGGCUUACCAACCCGAUGCAAACUGCGAAUACCGGAGAAUGUUAUCACGGGAGACACACGGCGGGUGCUAACGUCCGUCGUGAAGAGGGAAACAACCCAGACCGCCAGCUAAGGUCCCAAAGUCAUGGUUAAGUGGGAAACGAUGUGGGAAGGCCCAGACAGCCAGGAUGUUGGCUUAGAAGCAGCCAUCAUUUAAAGAAAGCGUAAUAGCUCACUGGUCGAGUCGGCCUGCGCGGAAGAUGUAACGGGGCUAAACCAUGCACCGAAGCUGCGGCAGCGAACGUAUCACCCAAGACAACUUUACGGAGUUGACGAUUGACGGAGCGAAGCGACGUCAAAGCGUUCAUUAAAGUCGAGUUGGCUUAGGGAUACGUUCGUUGGGUAGGGGAGCGUUCUGUAAGCCUGUGAAGGUGUGUCGUGAGGCAUGCUGGAGGUAUCAGAAGUGCGAAUGCUGACAUAAGUAACGAUAAAGCGGGUGAAAAGCCCGCUCGCCGGAAGACCAAGGGUUCCUGUCCAACGUUAAUCGGGGCAGGGUGAGUCGACCCCUAAGGCGAGGCCGAAAGGCGUAGUCGAUGGGAAACGGGUUAAUAUUCCCGUACUUGGUGUUACUGCGAAGGGGGGACGGAGAAGGCUAUGUUGGCCGGGCGACGGUUGUCCCGGUUUAAGCGUGUAGGUGUGUGUUCCAGGUAAAUCCGGUUCACUUUAACACUGAGGCGUGACGACGAGGCACUACGGUGCUGAAGCAACAAAUGCCCUGCUUCCAGGAAAAGCCUCUAAGCAUCAGGUAACACGAAAUCGUACCCCAAACCGACACAGGUGGUCAGGUAGAGAAUACCAAGGCGCUUGAGAGAACUCGGGUGAAGGAACUAGGCAAAAUGGUGCCGUAACUUCGGGAGAAGGCACGCUGACACGUAGGUGAAGUGAUUUACUCAUGGAGCUGAAGUCAGUCGAAGAUACCAGCUGGCUGCAACUGUUUAUUAAAAACACAGCACUGUGCAAACACGAAAGUGGACGUAUACGGUGUGACGCCUGCCCGGUGCCGGAAGGUUAAUUGAUGGGGUCAGCGCAAGCGAAGCUCCUGAUCGAAGCCCCGGUAAACGGCGGCCGUAACUAUAACGGUCCUAAGGUAGCGAAAUUCCUUGUCGGGUAAGUUCCGACCUGCACGAAUGGCGUAAUGAUGGCCAGGCUGUCUCCACCCGAGACUCAGUGAAAUUGAACUCGCUGUGAAGAUGCAGUGUACCCGCGGCAAGACGGAAAGACCCCGUGAACCUUUACUAUAGCUUGACACUGAACAUUGAGCCUUGAUGUGUAGGAUAGGUGGGAGGCUUUGAAGUGUGGACGCCAGUCUGCAUGGAGCCGACCUUGAAAUACCACCCUUUAAUGUUUGAUGUUCUAACGUGGACCCGUAAUCCGGGUUGCGGACAGUGUCUGGUGGGUAGUUUGACUGGGGCGGUCUCCUCCUAAAGAGUAACGGAGGAGCACGAAGGUUGGCUAAUCCUGGUCGGACAUCAGGAGGUUAGUGCAAUGGCAUAAGCCAGCUUGACUGCGAGCGUGACGGCGCGAGCAGGUGCGAAAGCAGGUCAUAGUGAUCCGGUGGUUCUGAAUGGAAGGGCCAUCGCUCAACGGAUAAAAGGUACUCGGGGAUAACAGGCUGAUACCGCCCAAGAGUUCAUAUCGACGGCGGUGUUUGGCACCUCGAUGUCGGCUCAUCACAUCCUGGGGCUGAAGUAGGUCCCAAGGGUAUGGCUGUUCGCCAUUUAAAGUGGUACGCGAGCUGGGUUUAGAACGUCGUGAGACAGUUCGGUCCCUAUCUGCCGUGGGCGCUGGAGAACUGAGGGGGGCUGCUCCUAGUACGAGAGGACCGGAGUGGACGCAUCACUGGUGUUCGGGUUGUCAUGCCAAUGGCACUGCCCGGUAGCUAAAUGCGGAAGAGAUAAGUGCUGAAAGCAUCUAAGCACGAAACUUGCCCCGAGAUGAGUUCUCCCUGAGACUUAGAGUCUCCUGAAGGAACGUUGAAGACGACGACGUUGAUAGGCCGGGUGUGUAAGCGCAGCGAUGCGUUGAGCUAACCGGUACUAAUGAACCGUGAGGCUUAACCUU